Molecule: long non-coding RNA, 670 nt
Organism: Oreochromis aureus
Lineage: Eukaryota; Metazoa; Chordata; Actinopteri; Cichliformes; Cichlidae
Exons: 3
Source: RefSeq, a predicted model, not a curated record
GUGGUCUGAAUAAGUUUGAACUAGACCAAACGAGUCUGAGCAGACUGUGUGAUAGUGGUUUGUCGAUGUGUUCUGAACUGAAAACCUGCUAAGAAACUUUGAACAAACGUGGCCAAAAUUGGAUGAAAAUUACAAUUUUUCGACCAUUACGGAUUUUACCUGGUCUGAAGUUGGAGUGUAUUAUUUGACCAUUUUUUGGACAGGUGCGGGAGCUGCCGGCCAUUUGCCCUAGCAGGCGGAGAGAGGUCGUGGAGUGUCAGCCUAUGGUAUCUGAGGUCCAGGAGAGAUGACCUGCGCUGUUUUCCUCUGAGGAGGUAAGACUGUCCUAAUUUAUUUAUAAUUUAAUUAUUAUUCAAAUUGGGCAUGAUUUAUACUUAUAUUGAAGCAGUACGGUAUUUGCUGGGGCAAUCUCAUAAUUUUGACUUAGCAUGUAUUUUUUUUCUUUUUGUGCUAGAAAUAGGACUUCUAUAGUCUGAGAUUGUUAGGGAAAGAAUACUAAGGCAGGUCACAGAAUCUGAUUGGUCACAGAUUUUGGUGCAACUUAGAACAUAAUAUGUAUUUUCAUAUUGAUACUGGGUUUUGUGGGGGGUGUUUCUAUUCCUGUGCAAAAGACGUAUUCAUGAGAGAUUUUUGAAGUAGGUUUUGCUGUUGAUAACACAGUCAGGCAUAU